CUGCCUCAGCCUCUCAAAGUGCUGGGAUUACACGUGUGAGCGACUGCGCCCAGCCUAUGUAUCUUCUUUUUAAAAACACAGAUGUCGGCAUAAGAUAAAUACUGUUCUCCACCAGUUCCUCACUGGUAAAUAUUUAGGUUGUUCCCAACCGUUUGGAUUAAUCAGUGCUGAGUUGUACGUAAUUCUUGCAUAUUUGCGUGAAUAUCUUCAUAGGAUGCAUUGCUAGAAAUGGAAUUGUGGGAUCCAGGGUUCUGCACAUUUUAAAUGUUGAUGGGUGUUGCUCGAUUCCCUUCCGUUAGGGCCAUACCGUUAUCUCACUGUCAAUGUGUAAGGGCGCCUAUUUCUAUUUCCUUGCCAACGGUUUCUUCUGAGCUAUUUUGUUUGACAUCACACACACACACAAAUAGACCGCUUGUUCCAAAAACAUGGGCGUUUUACAUUUCUACUUAAAGUGUGUGCACACUGACUGAAGUUCUCUGUUGCAGUGAUAUGUGCUGCUAGGAUUGUGGCUCUGUUUCGAAUUUGCUAGCCAGGCUACGGCUUUCCAGUCAGGUAUUUUUUGUUUGGUUCAUGUUGUUGCUGCCGUUGGGCUGGAGUAACCUGUGUGAAUUUCCCUCUACUGCCCAACCAGAUUUCCUUUCCAGUGGACGGGCUUAGUGUCUCAUCCGGCUGCCCUGUUUCCUGGUGAUCUGGGCCGAGUGUCUCAUCCGGCAGCCCUGUUUCCUGGUGACCUGGGCCGAGUGUCUCAUCUGGCAACCCUGUUUCCUGGUGAUCUGGGCCGAGUGUCUCAUCCGGCAGCCCUGUAUCCUAGUGAUCUGGGCUGAGUGGCUCCAUGAGAAGUUGCACCCAUAUUCUCCAGUAGUGCAUCUUUUUACAGCAAGCAAAACAUUUUCACCACGUUUCUAGCGGGACAGGCACUAGCUCUUUUCUGGGCAUCAGGAGACCUGGCUUUGUUCUGGUUCAAGCAACAGCUGAUCUUUUCCAGUGUACCUACAAAGAUACAUGUACACAUUGUAAAAAACAAAAUAGUACCUGAUACACAUUGAGUUCCCCUACUCCCAAUCCGCAGUCUACAUGGACAUCCUUUCACGGUGAUACGAUGAGACCUGAUGGACUCCUUUUGUUCGCUGGAGUGGCAGGAAGUCUAGUGCGAUGGACAGACACGCGCCAAUGGCUGCCAUGGAAUAUGGUGAGUAUUAAGAUAAAGGGGCACCCUUUGGAGCAUAGAGCAGGGCUUGUGUUCUGGGAACAUGGGCUCCAUGUGAAAACACAAUUUAAAUUAGUUUUCUUUUUCCCUUUUUUUUUUUUUUUUUGAGACAGAGUC
Molecule: non-coding RNA, 1324 nt
Organism: Macaca mulatta (Rhesus monkey)
Lineage: Eukaryota; Metazoa; Chordata; Mammalia; Primates; Cercopithecidae
Source: RefSeq, a predicted model, not a curated record